RNAcentral lists this ribosomal RNA (251 nucleotides) under uncultured prokaryote. Its description in RNAcentral is "partial 16S rRNA". It matches the Rfam family "Bacterial small subunit ribosomal RNA", at positions 525 to 775 of the family's 1533-position model. The record is from RNAcentral.
ACGGAGGAUGCGAGCGUUAUCCGGAUUUAUUGGGUUUAAAGGGUGCGUAGGCGGAUAGAUAAGUCAGUGGUGAAAACCUGCAGCUUAACUGUAGACUUGCCGUUUAUACUGUCAGUCUUGAGUAUGGUCAAGGUAGGCGGAAUGUGUAAUGUAGCUGUGAGUAGCCGAGAUAUUACCGCGAACAACGAAUGCGAAUGCAGCGUGCUGGGCAAGCCCUGAAUCUGGUGCUCCGUAACGUCAGCAUCGACCAG